UACGUAGGGGGCAAGCGUUAUCCGGAUUUACUGGGUGUAAAGGGAGCGCAGACGGCAGUGCAAGUCUGGAGUGAAAGCCCGGGGCCCAACCCCGGGACUGCUCUGGAAACUGUACGGCUGGAGUACUGGAGGGGCAGGCGGAAUUCCUAGUGUAGCGGUGAAAUGCGUAGAUAUUAGGAGGAACACCAGUGGCGAAGGCGGCCUGCUGGACAGUAACUGACGUUGAGGCUCGAAAGCGUGGGGAGCAAACAGG
Molecule: ribosomal RNA, 253 nt
Filed under: uncultured bacterium
Lineage: Bacteria
Description: partial 16S ribosomal RNA
Rfam family: Bacterial small subunit ribosomal RNA
Source: RNAcentral